CGGCGGGGGAAGCCUCGGGGGGCUAGCCCUCCCCUGUCACCGCAAACGGGCUACAUGGCGGGAGGCGCUAACCCGCGGGGGCGUUCGGGCGGGCUGCCGCCCUCGCGGGAGCGUCCCCGUGACACCGGUCCCGCGGGACGCUCUGUCCCACCGGGUCUCCCGUAGGGGAGACCCAGGGGGGUACGGCCGAACCGGGUUAGGCCCGGGAGGGAGCAGCCCUAAGGCCGGCAGGGCGUGUUCGCGGUAAGCCGGGUUGAGGGCUACACUCCCGCGGGGGAGCAGUCACCCCCGGGCCACCCUGCGGGGAGGCCGCCG
This 315-nucleotide signal recognition particle RNA is filed under the name Thermofilum sp. RNAcentral's name for it is "signal recognition particle sRNA". It matches the Rfam family "Archaeal signal recognition particle RNA". Lineage: Archaea; Thermoproteati; Thermoproteota; Thermoprotei; Thermofilales; Thermofilaceae. The record is from RNAcentral.